GAGUCCACUAAAAUACUAGUAACAGGCAUGAUUUCAGAGAGAAGUUCACUAACAGGUUUUGUGGUUGGAAAGCUAGGAGGGGCAGAAGAUGAACUUGCAGCAUCAGUAAAUGCAGAACGGAGGCCUGUGAUUAUCUCACAUAAGAGGCUCUCAUCUAUGCCAGCACCAACCUUCAAAUCGCUCAAAUUGUAAUACUUCUCAAGCUUACUUGAAGAAGCAGAACAAUGAGGAGGGUGAAGGACAUUGAAGAAGAAAAUGGAAACUGAAUCAUAAUAAAACUGUGGUCGGGACGAGUUGUGAUCACCAUCAAACUUUAUCAUAUUUUUGUCCCCU
Molecule: unclassified non-coding RNA, 333 nt
Filed under: Hevea brasiliensis (rubber tree)
Lineage: Eukaryota; Viridiplantae; Streptophyta; Magnoliopsida; Malpighiales; Euphorbiaceae
Source: RNAcentral